This 460-nucleotide ribosomal RNA is filed under the name uncultured bacterium. Its description in RNAcentral is "partial 16S ribosomal RNA". It matches the Rfam family "Bacterial small subunit ribosomal RNA", at positions 338 to 795 of the family's 1533-position model. The record is from RNAcentral.
CCUACGGGUGGCAGCAGUGAGGAAUAUUGGUCAAUGGGCGCGAGCCUGAACCAGCCAAGUCGCGUGAGGGAUGACUGUCCUACGGGUUGUAAACUUCUUUUGUCAGGGAACAAAGUCGGGCACUUGUGCCUUUUUGUGUGUACUUUAUGAAUAAGGAUCGGCUAACUCCGUGCCAGCAGCCGCGGUAAUACGGAGGAUCCGAGCGUUAUCCGGAUUUAUUGGGUUUAAAGGGUGCGGAGCUGGGUGGUUAAGUCAGCUGUGAAAGGUUGGGGCUCAACCGUAAAAGUGCAAUUGAUACUGGCAGUCUUGAGUAGAGGUGAGGUAUGCGGAAUGCGCGGUGUAGCGGUGAAAUGCAUAGAUAUCACGAAGAACUCCGAUUGCGAAGGCAGCAUACCAAACUGCCACUGACACUGAGGCUCGAAAGGGUGGGUAUCGAACAGGAUUAGAUACCCGAGUAGUC